CAGUCGCCGCGGUAAUACAGAGGGUGCGAGCGUUAAUCGGAUUUACUGGGCGUAAAGCGUGCGUAGGCGGCUUCUUAAGUCGGAUGUGAAAUCCCUGAGCUUAACUUAGGAAUUGCAUUCGAUACUGGGAAGCUAGAGUAUGGGAGAGGAUGGUAGAAUUCCAGGUGUAGCGGUGAAAUGCGUAGAUAUCUGGAGGAAUACCGAUGGCGAAGGCAGCCAUCUGGCCUAAUACUGACGCUGAGGUACGAAAGCAUGGGGAGCAAACAGGAUUAGAUACCCCAGUAGUCCCUGUCUCUUAUAC
RNAcentral lists this ribosomal RNA (301 nucleotides) under uncultured bacterium. RNAcentral's name for it is "partial 16S ribosomal RNA". It matches the Rfam family "Bacterial small subunit ribosomal RNA", at positions 509 to 807 of the family's 1533-position model. The record is from RNAcentral.